RNAcentral lists this long non-coding RNA (4763 nucleotides) under Olea europaea (common olive). RNAcentral describes it as "long non-coding RNA (OEUR_LNC004860)". Lineage: Eukaryota; Viridiplantae; Streptophyta; Magnoliopsida; Lamiales; Oleaceae. The record is from RNAcentral.
AAACCCUGACGCUUUCGGUGGUUCCCGCUGAUGUAGGAAAGCCAACGGUGAGAUUAGAGAAAGCUCCGAUUAUCGAAGGGAACUGCUACUGGGAACAUCCUAUUUAUGAGACUGUAAAACUAGUCAGGGAGCCGAAAAUGGAAAGAUAUAAAGAGAAAAUCUUCCAUUUCAUUGUGUCAACUGUAAGUGAUAAACCUUCUCGUAUAGAAUUCUUUAGACUUGUUAAAUAAUAACUGGAGAAAGACUCUGUUUUAGUUUUACUUGUAGCUAGCUCAAAUUAAAGUUAUUUACUUAUUUUAAUUUUCACAGAGAUCAUCAAAAUCAGGUGUUCUGGGAGAAAACUCGAUUGACCUUGCAGAUCUAGUUGAGGCUACUAAACCAUUGACAUUAUCUCUGCCUCUACAGACUUCAAACACUGGUGCAAUUUUGCAUGUUAGUACUUCUCUCUUUUUCUCUCUUGCACGCAAGCGCACAAAGAACAAAGCUGGCAUAUACCUGAAUGAAUUUUGCUAGUUGUACAACCAAGGGUUAACAACCCUGGUUGACAACCUCCUCGCAGGAUGGGGCCCAUGAUUUUUUUCAUAGACACCCUCCCACGUAUGUGGGUCUCAACUCCGAUUGUACAUGUAGCAUGACCAUGACCAUAACUAGCAACUUCUUGUUUUUUUUUUAGCAAUUAUAAGGUUUCGGCAUAUAGAGUUUGCACAUAAAUUGCAGUGCAUCCUAAAACUUCUAUAAAAAUAACAGGUCACAAUUCAGAAGAUGCAAGGAGAUCUUGAUUCAAGGUGAUGACGAAGAUUUUCAGCAACGAUCAUGUUCUUUUGUCCAUUAUAAUGAUUCACCUUUACAAGCUGAGUUAAUUCUUCUUGGAAAAUUUCAGAUGUACUGACGAAAGUGAAGCACUGGUGGAAGAUUUUGACAGCUAUGGGAAAAGAAAUCUACGAUCUCCUGAAGUAAGGUCUCAAAUACCUCCCCUUUUAUAAUUGAUGAAAUAACAGAGUAAAAAAUGGGAGCAUUAGAGAUCCUAGAGUUGUUAGAAACCUCAAGAAAGGCAUUAAGAUAUUUAUAUUGACUUCAUUAAUCAAAACUAAUGCUUAUUAUUUUCCAAAGUGAGCACUUCAGAAACUAACACCUCGUAACAAUGAACAGAAUGGAAGCUUUGGAGAUACUGGAUCAGAUAAUAAUGGUGUAUAUCAAAGAUCCCACACAGAUAUGUCAUUAGAUUGUGCUUCAGAUCGUAGUAUAAUUGAUAAAACAAACAGCUUUGACGAAACCAGUUCAAGAGAUGGGGUAGACGAAAAUUCCAUUGAUAUUAUUAGGAAGUUGAAAAAUCAAGUAACAAUGUUAGAAAGGAGGGCAGAAGUUUCAGAAUUGGAAGUACAAUCCCUUAAGAAGCAGGCUAUAAAGGAAAGCAAGAAGGGACAAGAACUAGUAAAGCAGAUUGAUUGCCUUAAGGAGGAGAGGGAUGCAAUUAUAACCCAAUGUGAACAACUCAAGUCCUUACAAAAAGGUAAUAAUGAUGAUGUAGUUUCAAGUGUUACAAAGAAAGAGACUGAAAAUUUGAGGACUUCACUUGAAGAUAUCAAGCAAGAACUUAGAAGUGAGAAGCAAUCUAAUAAAAAGUUGAAGCAGCAGCUGCAGAAGACAGAAGACUCGAACUCUGAACUUGUUCUAGCAUUAAGAGACCUUGAAAGAAUGUUGGAUAAAAAAAACACGGAAAUAUCUCAACUUUCUAGCAAAAUAAAGGCAAAUCACAAUGGCGAUGAGGCUCUUGCAAUAUCAUCCAAGAUAAAGAAAGAUUGGGAUCAAGAGAAGAAAGCAAAGGAUGACCAAAUAAACAAGCAAAGAAAUGCUGAUGAAGCAGAAAUGUUGAAACAAGAAAUUAAAAACCUCUAUUGCGAAAUAGAAGCCUGCAGGGAAGAAAAAGAAGAAGUUCAGAUGCAAAUGGAAAAGCUUACUCAGGAUUAUAAGAGUUUAGAAAAGGAAAACGAGGAUGUCUACUACAAUUUAGAGCAAUCCCAGAAAGGAAAAAUGGAAAUACAACAAAAUUAUUCAGAGUCCUUGGUCAAUGUAAAGCAGCUAAAACUCCAGGUAGAAAACUUGAAGGAAGAAGUCAAAAGGAAGGGACUACGACAUUCAGAAGCUUUGAAUAAAAUCAAUGAGCUUGAAACCCAGGUUAUGACCUUGCAGAAAGAACUGGAAAAGCAGGCACAUGGUUUUGAAGAUGAACUAGUAGUAGUAACUCAAGCCAAAGUUGAGCAGGAGCAAAGAGCCAUACAAGCUGAGGAGGAAUUAAGGAAGACAAGGUGGAAGAAUGCUGCAUCCACAGAGCACCUUCAGGAGGAAUUCAAACAGCUUUCCGUUGAAAUGGCAUUUAGGAUUGAUGAGAAUGAGCAACUUGCUAAUAAUGCAGUAGCAGAAGCUAAUGAUUUGCGGCAGCAAAAUAAAGUUUUAGAAGAAUUGCUCCAGAAAGCUGAGGAAGAACUUGUAAUGUCAAAAGAUCAAUAUGAAAGAAAAUUUCACGAGCUUCUGAACGAAAAUUCUGUAGGAGCAAAAGAAGCAUGUACUAGUGAAUCGGAGAUGCUACAGAAAUUGGUAGAAGAAAAGGAAGAUCUAGAGAGGGAACUCGCUUCAGUGAGAAAGGAAGCAGAAAAGCUGUCGAAGGAAUCAAUUUCCAUGCGGUCUCAAAUAGUUCAAAAGAAGAAAAUAGAUGAGAACUUGCAUUUAGAAUUGGAAAAGCUAAAACUUCAAUACAAUGAAAUGGAACAUCGUUCGAUUCAAUUAGAACUGGAGAAUGAAAGCAUGAAGAAAGAGAUGUCCAAAUUACAGGGCACCUUACAUAAGAAGGAACAGGUAAUUCCUAGCACAAAUAAAGAUGUUUCUCAUUAUAUAGGUGGAUUACAGAAGGUGCACAGAAUUUGCAGCUAAAAUAAUUGGUAGAAAGAUAAAAAUAUCUUAAAACCUGAGGGCUGACUCCAAAACACUGCCAAUUGCAUUUGUUACUCUGUUACUAACAUCAAGUGUUGACAAACUAAAUCAAACUGUUUAAAGCAGACUUAAUUCUUGAAAUUAGAAUUGUCUGAAAAUAAGAAAGAGACACCUUUUUUCACAAAUGGAAUUGAAAGUGUAUUUAAUUCUUGAAAUUAGAAUUGUCUGAAAAUAAUAAAGAGACAACUUUUUUUCACAAAUGGAAUUGAAAGUGUGUCUCCUUAGAUUGACCAUAAAAUGAACAAUAUCUCUUUGCAAUUCAACAAGAUUCAGCCUCACCAAAAACUAAUGCACACUGCUUUGUUUAAGCUUCCCAAAACUAUUUCAGCUACAUUAUGCAAACAAUCUUAUUCAAAUAAAUAUUUGAUGACAGGAGUCUACACCAACUAAGCAUAUGAAUCACAGUGCUCUUGAAGGAAGAAAAAACAUGGGAGGAAAUUUAGGUUCUGCAGCAAUGAGAACAGUGGAGGGCCUUCCUACAUUGAAUGGAUUUGACACAGCUCAAAUUAUAAGGUACAAAAACAGUUAACUAUUAUGUUUUCACUUCUUCUUUGAAAAAAAAUUCUUCCACAUGCAUUUAUGCACGCUGCGUUACUUGUUCAGUGGAGAAAUGAACCAAAGAACAAUGCUGAAAGUGAAUGGUGACCAUGCCGGUGAUAGUUGUGAUGUUUCCAGCUUAUUAAAUGUAGUAGAGUCACUGAAGGAAAGAAACAAAAACAUGGAAGACGAACUGAAAGAACUGCAAGAGAGAUAUUCAGAAAUAAGCCUCCGAUUUGCAGAGGUAGAAGGUGAAAGGCAGCAACUUGUCAUGACCGUACGGUGUCUGAAGAAUGGAAAGAAAAACUAGCCACUCUGGACAAUGCUAAAGGCCUGGAAAACUUUAGAGGUUCAAUAAAUGAAACAGCUAAGAAUAUUGCGAAGAAACUGGAGAUUUGCCCUGGCAAACAUCAAACAUACAUCUACAGUUCAUUUUUUACGAAGCCCUAUAACAUUUAUAUAAUUCAUUUUCCUCUAAUUCAAUGUCUUAAAGCAGUAAAGUUCAGUUAUUUGCAUCAAAUGGAUAACAGCAUUCCUAUGUUAUGUUUGGCAUCACGAUUGACUCCAGGAAACAUAGUAAAUAAACCCCAGCAAACUUCUUAACUUCAAUUUUGUAGCUGGAGAGCUAAAUAGUUGUUUGGGCUAUUAUAGGGAAAGAAGCUGAAGAGAGAGAAAGGAAGGAAGGCUAUUCGAGUUUUGNAAAAGAUAAAUUACUGUCUUCGGAGAAUAUGAAAGUAAUAUCUGAAAGUUUGCAAUCAAAAUAAUAUAACAUUUCCAUAGGCUUGACCUAAUAUUUCAUUAGAACAAUACAGCAUUCUGUUCCUAGAAUUGAUAUCACAGAUAACGUGAGAGAGUGCAUUGGACAAUAUCUUGGAGUGAUCGUCAUGGAUCGGAGUGAAAAAGUUAUCGGAGAAUGAGGGAUUAUUUGAUGGAUGACGGUAAACAAUUCUAGGGUUUGGUUGCUGAUCCGGCGGUAGGGAGGAUGCCAGUGUACAUUGCAAUUUGCAGUAAACGAUAUGCUGUGAGAAUGAAAAAAUGUUGAAUUUUGAAAGUUUGUAACGAGUUCGUUUGCAUUUAUGAUUUGUUGAUUUGGCGCUAUUGGGGAAUGGUUUUCCAGUUUCUAUACAGUUGUCGUUCCACAAUUCUGUACAUUGUGUGAAUUAUUGAACAAAAAGGAACUCCAUUUUCUUUCUUUCUUGUUACGCAACUGUGCAUUCUAUCUAAUCGCUAAGCUCCCC